CUCUGUAUGGGGCUGAUCUUCAGCUGGUAUAAAGUGUCAUAGCUCUGUCAAUGGGUCUAUGACAAUUCACUCCAUAUGACGAUCUGCUCCUAAGAGAAGCUAGGAGAGGAGCCGCGAGAAGGAGUGUAACAAUGUGGAGAGCUCAAGGGGGAGUCGGGGGAUGAUUUUUUUUUUCUGAGGAAGUAUGAAUAAGGUUCACCGGGUAUUCAGAAGAUUUGAGAGACUAACACGGCUGCUACUCUGAAACCUGAGAGAGAACAGUGAUUGGAAGAGAAAAGUCUUGAAGAAAGGGAAAAGUUGCAUGAAGGGAUUUAACAAAAUUGGAGGAGAACAGAGGAAGAUCAAGAAGAAACUAUGACAGCCACAAGGAUGAAAAGUAAACUGAAAUAUGCUUCCAUCUGGAAAGACAGAGACCUCUGAGGCAUUAUCACAGAUUCACACUUUCAAAGGGGCCUAGAAGAUUUUUUCCCUUUGGAGGGUGCAGUGAGCAAUCAUAAGAACAAAUUAUAUUUUCAGCGGGGCAACAACAUAU
Mauremys reevesii (Reeves's turtle) is the source of this 532-nucleotide long non-coding RNA. RefSeq lists it as uncharacterized. The transcript has 4 exons. Lineage: Eukaryota; Metazoa; Chordata; Testudines; Geoemydidae. The record is from RefSeq and is a predicted model, not a curated record.